GUCCCCUGGGUCUAGAGGCCUAGGACUUUGCCCUUUCACGGCGGUAACAGGGGUUCGAAUCCCCUAGGGGACGCCA
This 76-nucleotide transfer RNA is filed under the name Aeromonas hydrophila NJ-35. Its description in RNAcentral is "tRNA-Glu". It matches the Rfam family "tRNA". Rfam says of the family: Transfer RNA (tRNA) molecules are approximately 80 nucleotides in length. Their secondary structure includes four short double-helical elements and three loops (D, anti-codon, and T loops). Further hydrogen bonds mediate the characteristic L-shaped molecular structure. tRNAs have two regions of fundamental functional importance: the anti-codon, which is responsible for specific mRNA codon recognition, and the 3' end, to which the tRNAs corresponding amino acid is attached (by aminoacyl-tRNA synthetases). tRNAs cope with the degeneracy of the genetic code in two manners: having more than one tRNA (with a specific anti-codon) for a particular amino acid; and 'wobble' base-pairing, i.e. permitting non-standard base-pairing at the 3rd anti-codon position. The record is from RNAcentral. Lineage: Bacteria; Pseudomonadati; Pseudomonadota; Gammaproteobacteria; Aeromonadales; Aeromonadaceae.